UCUCACCAGUACUCCCCCCUGAGGAGAGUAUGGCUGAACACCCGUGUACCGCCAGUAUCCCCCCCCCAAGCAAGGUGAUCCGCAUCAAGGCCAAAGCGACAAGAUGGAUCGAGUCAAUGUGGCCACAGCGACACAAUGACUCUGUUACCCAUGCACUAUUAGAUGGGUUGAUUCACUAUCAGAAUCUAGUUCCAGGCCAAUAGAACUACGUGUUUAUAGUCCAACUCUGAUCAGGAGCGACUCUUUCUGUGUUAUCAUCAA
Molecule: long non-coding RNA, 261 nt
Filed under: Zostera marina
Lineage: Eukaryota; Viridiplantae; Streptophyta; Magnoliopsida; Alismatales; Zosteraceae
Description: long non-coding RNA (ZMAR_LNC003869)
Source: RNAcentral